CAGGGUGUUCAUAGAACACUGAACAUGGCUGAUCUUGUCUGAUCUCAGAAGCUAAGUAGGGUCAGGUCUGGUUAGUACUUGGAUGGGAAACUGGGGGGAUUUUGUGAAGACUUCCCUCA
RNAcentral lists this ribosomal RNA (119 nucleotides) under Salvator merianae (Argentine black and white tegu). The record is from RNAcentral. Lineage: Eukaryota; Metazoa; Chordata; Lepidosauria; Squamata; Teiidae.